RNAcentral lists this long non-coding RNA (1075 nucleotides) under Homo sapiens (human). RNAcentral's name for it is "HSALNT0385742". The record is from RNAcentral. Lineage: Eukaryota; Metazoa; Chordata; Mammalia; Primates; Hominidae.
GUCCGCGCACUGAGAGUCGCCUCGGCCGCUCGCUUUCUCGACUCCCGCCUCGCGCCUCGAUCCUGUUCCGCCUCCCUCGGCCCUCCUGCCCGCCCCCACUCGUCGGCCCUCAGCUCAGAGACCUAAUAGGAUGGGGUCUUAGAGAAACAUCUUUUGAGCCACAGACUUCUUUGUUACCAGAAGGAAAAUGAAAGAAGAAAUUUAAAUACCACUUGAAGAGAGGUGCUGCCCAGUUCAUGAGUGCUGCUGCUGUCCUGCCCAAGUACCCAGCUUGCAGAGUGCCAGAGUUAGAGUCCCAGGGGUGUUCUCCACAGCUGCAUGCUUGAUCCAGGCCUAUCAGAUAUAUUCCAUUGAAAGUCCUCAUUCUCAAAUUUAAAACAAAGACUUUUUGUGUACCUCAAUAGCAAUGCACACACAGUUGGCUUCACAAACAUAUUGUACAUUUCUUUUUUUCAUAUUUAUUCAACAAAUGUAUAUUGACUACCCACCGUGUGACAGGUGUUAUUUGUUGACGGAACCAGGCAUCAUCAGCAAACAAAACUGACAAAGCUUCCUGCCCUCUGUGGAAGGCAUCUGAGGAAGAGACUGGAUUUUGUAGCAACAUGUUAUUCUCAUUAUAAACUUUAUCAUUGGAAUACUAAAGCCAAAUCAUCCCCCAUCUCCUUGAUCAGGAUACCCACUUAAUCUAGGCAGCUACACAAUUGUGAGAGCCUUUGUUUUUUUCUGCUGAAACAUCCUUAAAAAGAUACCUCACAACCCAAGAUUUGGCUUUUCUUAAAUACGAUUUUUAAUUUUUUUCAUUUCUAUCUAGAGAUUUAAUUGGAAAUGGAAAAUCAUCAAUUUUCCAAUUAAAUGUCUGUUCCAAUCAACAUUAUACCUUUUAGGUUGUCAUUGUCAUUUUUAAGUUUAAGCAACUUUAAGGAUUUUGAAUCUGGCUGCCUGUAAAUUAAAGGUGAAAGUAAUCAUUGUGUUGGAUUGGAACAUUUUGUCAAUUGAGAGUGGUUUCCUUGUUCUUAGUGUAUGAAAAGUUUAUUUUUCUAAUGUAGAUUAAUAAAGGAGAUAAAGAAAAACAAAA